RNAcentral lists this ribosomal RNA (461 nucleotides) under Pseudomonas aeruginosa. RNAcentral's name for it is "bacterial SSU rRNA". It matches the Rfam family "Bacterial small subunit ribosomal RNA", at positions 56 to 513 of the family's 1533-position model. Lineage: Bacteria; Pseudomonadati; Pseudomonadota; Gammaproteobacteria; Pseudomonadales; Pseudomonadaceae. The record is from RNAcentral. RNAcentral also lists the same sequence under 1 other name.
UGCAGUCGAGCGGAUGAAGGGAGCUUGCUCCUGGAUUCAGCGGCGGACGGGUGAGUAAUGCCUAGGAAUCUGCCUGGUAGUGGGGGAUAACGUCCGGAAACGGGCGCUAAUACCGCAUACGUCCUGAGGGAGAAAGUGGGGGAUCUUCGGACCUCACGCUAUCAGAUGAGCCUAGGUCGGAUUAGCUAGUUGGUGGGGUAAAGGCCUACCAAGGCGACGAUCCGUAACUGGUCUGAGAGGAUGAUCAGUCACACUGGAACUGAGACACGGUCCAGACUCCUACGGGAGGCAGCAGUGGGGAAUAUUGGACAAUGGGCGAAAGCCUGAUCCAGCCAUGCCGCGUGUGUGAAGAAGGUCUUCGGAUUGUAAAGCACUUUAAGUUGGGAGGAAGGGCAGUAAGUUAAUACCUUGCUGUUUUGACGUUACCAACAGAAUAAGCACCGGCUAACUUCGUGCCAGCA